UACGGAGGGUGCAAGCGUUAUCCGGAUUUACUGGGUUUAAAGGGUGCGCAGGCGGAUAUGUAAGUCAGUGGUGAAAUCUUUGGGCUUAACCCGAAAAUUGCCAUUGAUACUAUAUAUCUUGAAUGCUGUGGAGGUAAGCGGAAUAUGUCAUGUAGCGGUGAAAUGCUUAGAGAUGACAUAGAACACCUAUUGCGAAGGCAGCUCACUACACAGUUAUUGACGCUGAGGCACGAAAGCGUGGGGAUCAAACAGG
RNAcentral lists this ribosomal RNA (253 nucleotides) under uncultured bacterium. RNAcentral's name for it is "partial 16S ribosomal RNA". It matches the Rfam family "Bacterial small subunit ribosomal RNA", at positions 524 to 776 of the family's 1533-position model. The record is from RNAcentral.